RNAcentral lists this ribosomal RNA (699 nucleotides) under Rhizopus arrhizus. Its description in RNAcentral is "eukaryotic LSU rRNA". It matches the Rfam family "Eukaryotic large subunit ribosomal RNA", at positions 38 to 667 of the family's 3401-position model. Lineage: Eukaryota; Fungi; Mucoromycota; Mucoromycetes; Mucorales; Rhizopodaceae. The record is from RNAcentral.
GCAUAUCAAUAAGCGGAGGAAAAGAAAAUAACAAUGAUUUCCCUAGUAACGGCGAGUGAAGAGGAAAGAGCUCAAAGUUGGAACCUGUUUGGCCUAGCUAAACCGGAUUGUAGACUGUAGAAGUGUUUUCCAGGCAAGCCGAGUAAAUAAGUCCUUUGGAACAGGGCAUCAUAGAGGGUGAGAAUCCCGUCUUUGGCUUGAGCAUUUGCCUUUUGUGAUACGCUUUCAAAGAGUCAGGUUGUUUGGGAAUGCAGCCUAAAUUGGGUGGUAAAUCUCACCUAAAGCUAAAUAUUGGCGAGAAACCGAUAGCGAACAAGUACCGUGAGGGAAAGAUGAAAAGAACUUUGAAAAGAGAGUUAAACAGUAUGUGAAAUUGUUAAAAGGGAACCGUUUGGAGCCAGACUGGCUUGUCUGUAAUCAAUCUAGGCUUCGGCCUGGAUGCACUUGCAGGCUAUGCCUGCCAACGACAAUUUGACUUGAGGGAAAAAACUAGGGGAAAUGUGGCCCACUUGUGGGUGUUAUAGUCCCUUAGAAAAUACCUUGGGUUGGAUUGAGGAACGCAGCGAAUGCUUAUUGGCGAGUUUUCCAGGAAGGUUUUCUGAGGUACUACGGUAUCAAGGUUGAUCUUUUUGGUUAUACUUCUAUUCGCUUAGGUUGUUGGCUUAAUGACUCUAAAUGACCCGUCUUGAAACACGGACC